AUGCAUCAGAUUUCUAUGUUUUGCAUCAGCUACAGAAUGCAUCACACAGUGAUAAACAACUUGCCCUGUAACAGUGUAACUAACAGUGUAACUGCUGCCUUACGUACUGAACACCAAGCAUCUAUCUGUCAGGCACUAUGCUUAACACCCCACAGGAGCUCAUUUAAUCCUCCACAGAGCUUUCUGGCGCCAUUUUCGGAAAGGAUACCUUGCCCACAAGGCCCAUUCUUGUUGAUGAUGGAAAUUAUCAUACUCUUGUUAUCAAAUACCUAUCACAUAGCAGGUAACUCAGUUGGGCAAUCAACAGAUGCUAUGCCAUCUCGGCCUCCCAACAGCCCUCUCCCAAUCCCUGCGCUGCCGAAGAGGAAAAGCAGAUUCUGGUUUUCCUCUUCCAAGAGCUCCACUCACAGAUCGGCUGAGUGCUGGACAGGAUCGCCUGUCGGGGCUCUUCUACACGGUUUUUCUGGCCUGCGCGCUCCCUGGACUGAACUGUGCGUGCUUUCUAUUGCUAUGUUCACAAGGCCAUUUUCUUUUCCCUACGGUGCCUGUGUGUAAGUUGAUCAGUUGCUCAGUCCAGUAGCCUGUCAGGCUCCUCUGUCCAUGGUAUUUUCCAGGCAAGAAAACUGGAGUGCGUCGUCAUUUCCUUCUCCAGGAGAUCUUCCAACCCAGGGACUGAACUCGCAUCUCUGGCAUCCUUUGCACUGGCAGGCUGUUUCUUUACGGCCGCGUCUUUCUUGUGUCUACUCUGUUGAUGAUCCCACCCAAUAUAUCUGUCAUUUCAGAUACUGUAUUUUUUCAUCUUCAGACGGUCAAUUUGAGGGGUUUUUUUUAAAUGUCUUCCAUUUUUUCUUCAAUGUUCAUGUUCUCAUUUAAAUACCUGAACAUAAUUCAAUAAUAAAAAGACAAGCCAAUUAAAAAUGGACAAAGGAUCUGAAUACACAGUUCUCCAAAGAAGAUAUACAAAGGGCCAACAAGCAUCUGAAAAGAUGCUUACCAUCACUAGGAAAAUGCACAUCCCAACCGUGAGACAGGACUUUACAUCCAAAAGGAUGGCUAUCCUCAAAAAGGCAGAUAAUAAUAAGCAUGAGCAAGGAUGUGAAGAAAUCAAAACUCUCAUACACAGCUGGUGGGAAUGUUAAACGGUACAGCCAAGUUGAAAAAUCUAUGAUCCAGCAAAUUAGACUCCUAAGUAUAUAUGCAAGAAAAAUGAAAACAUAUGUCCAGACAAACACCUCUAUACAUAUUUGAACACUUACAGCGUCACUACUUAAAACACUCAGAAGGUGGAAACAAGCCGAUGUCUAUCAUGACAAGUGGAUAAGCAGAGCGCAGUACUGAGACACGCAUUCAGGGACCGCUAUUCAGCCAAAGAAAGGAAUGAAGGACUGGUACAUCGUACAAGAGGAAUGAAACUUGCUAACAUCAGGUUAAAUGAAAGAAGUCAGUCCUAACAGACCACAUAUCACAUGAUUCGAUUUGUAUGACAUGCUCAGAACAGAGACAAAAGUAGAUUAAUGGUCACUUAGGACUGGGAGGCAUGAGGCUUGCAGACAGCAGCAGCUAACAGGCACAGGGGAUCUUCCCGAGGUGAUCACAGUGUUCUAAAAUUGACCUGGUGAUGGCUACACAUAUCUUUGUGCACACUAAAACAACUGAUUUCUACUUUAAAUGGGUGAAUUGUAUGAUACAUGAAUUGUAUCUCAAUAAGGGGAAAAAUGGGCUUCCCUGGUGACUCAGCUGGUAAAGAAUCCAUCCGCCUGCAAUGUGGGAGACCUGGGUUCGAUCCCUGAGUUGGGAAGAU
This 1801-nucleotide long non-coding RNA is filed under the name Capra hircus (goat). RNAcentral describes it as "lncRNA (ENSCHIG00010010704.1)". The record is from RNAcentral. Lineage: Eukaryota; Metazoa; Chordata; Mammalia; Artiodactyla; Bovidae.